RNAcentral lists this ribosomal RNA (429 nucleotides) under bacterium. Its description in RNAcentral is "partial 16S ribosomal RNA". It matches the Rfam family "Bacterial small subunit ribosomal RNA", at positions 355 to 776 of the family's 1533-position model. The record is from RNAcentral.
UAGGGAAUCUUCCACAAUGGACGCAAGUCUGAUGGAGCAACGCCGCGUGAGUGAAGAAGGUUUUCGGAUCGUAAAGCUCUGUUGUUGGUGAAGAAGGAUAGAGGCAGUAACUGGUCUUUAUUUGACGGUAAUCAACCAGAAAGUCACGGCUAACUACGUGCCAGCAGCCGCGGUAAUACGUAGGUGGCAAGCGUUGUCCGGAUUUAUUGGGCGUAAAGCGAGCGCAGGCGGAGUGAUAAGUCUGAUGUGAAAGCCCACGGCUCAACCGUGGAACUGCAUCGGAAAUUGUCAUUCUUGAGUGCAGAAGAGGAGAGUGGAAUUCCAUGUGUAGCGGUGGAAUGCGUAGAUAUAUGGAAGAACACCAGUGGCGAAGGCGGCUCUCUGGUCUGCAACUGACGCUGAGGCUCGAAAGCAUGGGUAGCGAACAGG